CACGUAGGGGGCGAGCGUUGUCCGGAUUUAUUGGGCGUAAAGGGCUCGUAGGCGGCUCAGUAAGUCGGGUGUGAAACCUCCAGGCUCAACCUGGAGACGCCACUCGAUACUGCUGUGGCUAGAGUCCGGUAGGGGAGCAUGGAAUUCCUGGUGUAGCGGUGAAAUGCGCAGAUAUCGUAAGGAAGACCAGUGGUGAAGGCGGGUCUCUGGACAGUUCCUGACGCUGAGGCACGAAGGCCAGGGGAGCAAACGGG
This 254-nucleotide ribosomal RNA is filed under the name uncultured bacterium. RNAcentral's name for it is "partial 16S ribosomal RNA". It matches the Rfam family "Bacterial small subunit ribosomal RNA", at positions 524 to 776 of the family's 1533-position model. The record is from RNAcentral.